RNAcentral lists this long non-coding RNA (2361 nucleotides) under Sus scrofa (pig). Its description in RNAcentral is "lncRNA (ENSSSCG00000052792.1)". Lineage: Eukaryota; Metazoa; Chordata; Mammalia; Artiodactyla; Suidae. The record is from RNAcentral.
AACCUAAGCAACUGUAUAGACCAAUCACCUAACAGACCCAUACAGAACGCUCCACCCAACAAUACUUAUUUUUCUCAGAGAGGUUCCCAGGCUAGGGGUCUAAUCAAAGCUGUUGCUGCCGGCCUACGCCACAGCCACAGCAAUGCCAGAUCCUAGCCGCGUCUGCCACCUACACCACAGCUCACGGCAACACCAGAUCCUUAACCCACUGAGCAGGGCCAGGGAUUGGACCCGCAACCUCAUGGUUCCUAGUCAGAUUCGUUAACUACUGCUCCACGACAGGAACUCCACAAAAUAAUUUUUAAAAUCAAACUAUAUUUAAAAUUUUUAAAACUUCCUAUUUUUCUGAUGCCUGAACAUCCCCAUAAAUAGGCUGGAGUACUUGCCCAGGGGACCAAGUGCACCUGUGUGAUAAGGCUGGCUCUGCUACCAGAAGUUCGCCUUCUUGCCCUCUUCUGACUGUGACCUAGUCUCAUUCAGUCACAGCAGUGAAUCCCCUCAUACUAUUUGCUUAUGGACUUCACCCUGACCUGCAAUAAAGCACUUGUCCACAGGUCAUCUCUCUCUCAGAUCCCUACCUGCUUGGUUGAGCCCACUCUCUCUGGUGGUCCUCUUGUGUGGCGCCCCUGUGUGUAGUGCUGGGCUUACCUCUCCUAGGACUUGAGUGUAGUUAAGUCUCUUUCACUUUCGUAUAUCUCUUUAUGGUGUUAUUCUGUGUCUGUACCAGACUUAUCAACAAAAACAACAGCAAAAAACCAUCUUAAGUGACUCAAUAAUUCCUACAAUACACAAACACUAAAUAAAUACACAGAUCUAGAUUUACACCAUACCAAAAAAUGAUGAAACCACUGUAGCACAAGCGUUCAGACUACAUAAACUCCAAGGCAGGACAGCUCAGCCUCUGUUCCUACCCUCUCAUCUCCCAUGUUUGACAGGGACUCUGAUAGCUGGUGAUGAGGAAGCUUGGGGCUUCUUAAAGGCCACAGCACAUGGGCCAUGGCAUAACUGGUUGGUUUAAUAAGGAGCCAGCAGGAACAGGGGCAGUGAAGACUGGAAGGAUUUAGAUGAGCCUCAGAUCUAGUUUUAUCUGCCCCUAGAGGCUUUACCUAUUUACAUUGCCUACAGGCAGACAUUUGAAUUUGUAACCCUGGUUCUAAAAUGUUUUUGCCCUUCAGCCUUGUUAAGGGGUAUUUUUGUUUGUAAUUCUUGGAUUUCUCAAUAUGUGGCAAUAUGUUAUCUAGUUUUAUUCUUUUUCUGUGGCAGUAUGUUAUCUAGUUUUGUUUUUAUUGAUUUAAUUUAUGUUUUUAUUACUGCCAUAUGUUUGACUUUUGUAACAUUAAUUUGAUCCAUUUAUAGACUGAUACAAUGGCCGUUGUAGUGAAAACUAGCAACUUUAUAACAUUUCAUAAUUACCCUUUCUUUUUAGUGGUUGGAAUUCUUAUAGUCUCUUAGCAAGUUUGAUGAUUACAAUGCAAUAUGUUGCACAAUACUGUACAUUAUGUCUCUAAAGCCUAUUUACUAUUUGUUGCGUCGAGGUAGGCUUAAAUACCUCUAUUAUGCAUCCACUUGCUUUCUGAAAUACCUCUGACAGAAGCAAAGUGCAGCUCCCUUUCCUGUAGUCGAAGUGAAAAGUACAGAUAAUAAAUGGCAGCACAGGAAUUUGGACCUAGAUUUAUUUUGAUCCCAAGGCCCAGGUUCUGUCCAAGACUCUGUGCAGCCCCCCUUGUACCUAAGCACUGGUGAGAACAUAGGUGAUGGAUGGUACUAAUAGCCGCCUGUUUGUUGAGAGCUGCCAGGUCCUGCGGUCAGCAUUUUAGGUUCUGAAGCACUUCAAAGCUUCAAAGUGGUUGUUUUAAGCUGCUUGGUUGGGGUAAUUUUGAUGUAGCAAUCGAUAAUUAAUGUAAUUAAUGUUUAAUUUGAUUCCUUUAACCAGCUCCCCAACCUUAUUUAUCUUCCAUUGCUGCCCAAGAAGCUUAUCCAGGGAGAAGAGAUGAUUCGUGGAGAUCAGUGUAUUUGUGACCCUAUGUGAGCGAGAAUUCUCUUUUCUAAAGUUGAAAAUGGAAAUGAUUUUAUUCUUCAGUCUCAUGCUUGACCAAUAUGAGUCCCCUCUUAAGAGAUGGAUCAGUAAUUGUUUGAGUUCCCUUCAUGGCUCAGCAGUUAAUGAACCCAUCUAGGAUCCAUGAGGAUGUAGGUUCUAUCCCUGGCCUCACUCAGUGUUUAAGAUCCAGUGUUGCCGUGACCUGUGGUGUAGGUCAUAGACGUGGAUCGGAUCUUGUGUUGCUGUGGCUGUGGUAUAGGCCAGCAGCUGCAGCUCCAAUUAGACUCCUAGCCUGGAAACCUCCAUAUGCUGCAGGUGCAGCC